RNAcentral lists this ribosomal RNA (400 nucleotides) under uncultured bacterium. RNAcentral describes it as "bacterial SSU rRNA". It matches the Rfam family "Bacterial small subunit ribosomal RNA", at positions 356 to 773 of the family's 1533-position model. The record is from RNAcentral.
GGGGAAUAUUGGACAAUGGGCGCAAGCCUGAUCCAGCCAUGCCGCGUGAGUGAUGAAGGCCCUAGGGUUGUAAAGCUCUUUCGCCAGGGACGAUAAUGACGGUACCUGGAUAAGAAGCCCCGGCUAACUUCGUGCCAGCAGCCGCGGUAAUACGAAGGGGGCUAGCGUUGUUCGGAUUAACUGGGCGUAAAGCGCACGUAGGCGGAUCUUUAAGUCAGGGGUGAAAUCCCGAGGCUCAACCUCGGAACUGCCUUGGAUACUGGGGAUCUCGAGUUCGGGAGAGGUGAGUGGAACUGCGAGUGUAGAGGUGAAAUUCGUAGAUAUUCGCAAGAACACCAGUGGCGAAGGCGGCUCACUGGCCCGAUACUGACGCUGAGGUGCGAAAGCGUGGGGAGCAAAC